This 253-nucleotide ribosomal RNA is filed under the name uncultured bacterium. RNAcentral describes it as "partial 16S ribosomal RNA". It matches the Rfam family "Bacterial small subunit ribosomal RNA", at positions 524 to 776 of the family's 1533-position model. The record is from RNAcentral.
UACGGGGGGGGCAAGCGUUGUUCGGAAUUACUGGGCGUAAAGGGCUCGUAGGCGGCCAACUAAGUCGGAUGUGAAAUCCCCAGGCUCAACCUGGGAACUGCAUCCGAUACUGGAUGGCUUGAAUUCGGGAGAGGGAUGCAGAAUUCCAGGUGUAGCGGUGAAAUGCGUAGAUAUCUGGAGGAAUACCGGUGGCGAAGGCGGCAUCCUGGACCGACAUUGACGCUGAGGAGCGAAAGCCAGGGGAGCAAACAGG